Molecule: ribosomal RNA, 207 nt
Filed under: uncultured bacterium
Lineage: Bacteria
Description: partial 16S ribosomal RNA
Rfam family: Bacterial small subunit ribosomal RNA
Source: RNAcentral
CGUGUAGGCGGCCAGGUAGGUCCGUUGUGAAAACUCGAGGCUCAACCUCGAGACGCCGGCGGAAACCCUUUGGCUAGAGUCCGGAAGAGGAGAGUGGAAUUCCUGGUGUAGCGGUGAAAUGCGCAGAUAUCAGGAAGAACACCCGUGGCGAAGGCGGCUCUCUGGGACGGUACUGACGCUGAGACGCGAAAGCGUGGGGAGCAAACA